RNAcentral lists this ribosomal RNA (394 nucleotides) under uncultured bacterium. Its description in RNAcentral is "partial 16S ribosomal RNA". It matches the Rfam family "Bacterial small subunit ribosomal RNA", at positions 523 to 918 of the family's 1533-position model. The record is from RNAcentral.
AUACGUAGGUGGCAAGCGUUAUCCGGAUUUACUGGGUGUAAAGGGCGCGUAGGCGGGGGUGCAAGUCAGAUGUGAAAUCUAUGGGCUUAACUCAUAAACUGCAUUUGAAACUGUAUCUCUUGAGUGCUGGAGAGGUAGACGGAAUUCCUUGUGUAGCGGUGAAAUGCGUAGAUAUAAGGAAGAACACCAGUGGCGAAGGCGGUCUACUGGACAGUAACUGACGCUGAGGCGCGAAAGCGUGGGGAGCAAACAGGAUUAGAUACCCUGGUAGUCCACACCGUAAACGAUGAUUACUAGGUGUGGGUGCGUCAAGCAUCCGUGCCGGAGUUAACACAAUAAGUAAUCCACCUGGGGGGUACGACCGCAAGGUUGAAACUCAAAGGAAUUGACGGGG